CAGAUGGGUGACGUCACGGAUACUACGUCCAUUAUUCAUACAGUCGAUGACUCAAACAGGCCGGACAGGCAUUUCCUGUGGGUGGGACCUGAGAGCAGAGACAUUCUUGGGCCAGGCACCUCCACUUCCUGUCUCUGUUAACGUUGCAGUGAAAGACACACUGUCUGGACCUGCUGUUACUUUACACUUUACUUGAAGCUGUUUUCCAUCUGUAGAUCAAAUUCCCAUUCAAGGUUUACUAAUGCUGCAUGUAAAUAAAAGUGAGACGCUAAAGUCAAAGAGCCCAGAUAAAGGAGGGAAAAUAACCUGUGAACAAAUGUUGUUAUUAUGUUAGACAAAGAGAUAUUUCAGCUCAGAAAAAUACUUUGGGAUAUGGAACCAUGUAUUGAUAUAAUGACAGAGGAUUUCCUUUGAAAAAUAGACUACUGUCUGUGUAAAAUACCAAUACUGCUAACACUGAAAUUCUCCAAUUUUGCCCGCCAAAGCUGACAGAGUAUGAGGACAUAGUUGAAUAAAUAUUUGUUAAUGGAAGAGGUGACUCCCUUCCAUUAACUUUCCACAUCCUAGUUCAGCAGCAUAUGCCUGUAGUUCUGCUGAAGGUCACUGAUUGCUAGAUUGGUGACUAGGUCCCCUCAGUGAACAGUCCCUAGUAUGUUCAAUUCAAUUCCACUCAAUUCAAUUCAAAAAACUUUAUUUGUCCCCGGUUGGCAAUUUAUGUAACUGUUCAUUUGUUUAAUGACAACUUAUAUGAAUAAAAAUAAAAUAAUUCAUAAA
Molecule: long non-coding RNA, 774 nt
Organism: Notolabrus celidotus (New Zealand spotty)
Lineage: Eukaryota; Metazoa; Chordata; Actinopteri; Labriformes; Labridae
Exons: 2
Source: RefSeq, a predicted model, not a curated record